ACGUACACUCCUACGGGAGGCAGCAGUGGGGAAUUUUGGACAAUGGGCGAAAGCCUGAUCCAGCCAUGCCGCGUGCAGGAUGAAGGCCUUCGGGUUGUAAACUGCUUUUGUACGGAACGAAACGGCCUUUUCUAAUAAAGAGGGCUAAUGACGGUACCGUAAGAAUAAGCACCGGCUAACUACGUGCCAGCAGCCGCGGUAAUACGUAGGGUGCAAGCGUUAAUCGGAAUUACUGGGCGUAAAGCGUGCGCAGGCGGUUAUGUAAGACAGUUGUGAAAUCCCCGGGCUCAACCUGGGAACUGCAUCUGUGACUGCAUAGCUAGAGUACGGUAGAGGGGGAUGGAAUUCCGCGUGUAGCAGUGAAAUGCGUAGAUAUGCGGAGGAACACCGAUGGCGAAGGCAAUCCCCUGGACCUGUACUGACGCUCAUGCACGAAAGCGUGGGGAGCAAACAGGAUUAGAUACCCCAGUAGUCCCAUGAU
RNAcentral lists this ribosomal RNA (481 nucleotides) under uncultured organism. RNAcentral describes it as "partial 16S ribosomal RNA". It matches the Rfam family "Bacterial small subunit ribosomal RNA", at positions 329 to 801 of the family's 1533-position model. The record is from RNAcentral.